Molecule: ribosomal RNA, 465 nt
Filed under: uncultured bacterium
Lineage: Bacteria
Description: partial 16S ribosomal RNA
Rfam family: Bacterial small subunit ribosomal RNA
Source: RNAcentral
GACGAACGCUGGCGGCGUGCUUAACACAUGCAAGUCGAACGGAAAGGCCCCCUUGUGGGGUACUCGAGUGGCGAACGGGUGAGUAACACGAGAGUAACCUACCCUUGACUUUGGGAUAACUUCAGGAAACUGGGGCUAAUACCGGAUCGGAGCUCCUGCUGCAUGGUGGGGGUUGGAAAGUUUCGGCGGUUGGGGAUGGACUCGCGGCUUAUCAGCUUGUUGGUGGGGUAGUGGCUUACCAAGGCUUUGACGGGUAGCCGGCCUGAGAGGGUGACCGGCCACCUUGGGACUGCGAGACGGCCCAGACUCCUACGGGAGGCAGCAGUGGGGAAUAUUGCACAAUGGGCGGAAGCCUGAUGCAGCAACGCCGCGUGCGGGAUGACGGCCUUCGGGUUGUAAACCGCUUUCGCCUGUGACGAAGCGUGAGUGACGGUAAUGGGUAAAGAAGCACCGGCUAACUACGUG